AACGAACGCUGGCGGCAUGCCUAACACAUGCAAGUCGAACGAGACCUUCGGGUCUAGUGGCGCACGGGUGCGUAACACGUGGGAAUCUGCCCUUUGCUUCGGAAUAACAGUUAGAAAUGACUGCUAAUACCGGAUGAUGUCGAAAGACCAAAGAUUUAUCGGCAAAGGAUGAGCCCGCGUAGGAUUAGGUAGUUGGUGGGGUAAAGGCCUACCAAGCCGACGAUCCUUAGCUGGUCUGAGAGGAUGAUCAGCCACACUGGGACUGAGACACGGCCCAGACUCCUACGGGAGGCAGCAGUGGGGAAUAUUGGACAAUGGGCGAAAGCCUGAUCCAGCAAUGCCGCGUGAGUGAUGAAGGCCUUAGGGUUGUAAAGCUCUUUUACCAGGGAUGAUAAUGACAGUACCUGGAGAAUAAGCUCCGGCUAACUCCGU
Molecule: ribosomal RNA, 432 nt
Filed under: uncultured bacterium
Lineage: Bacteria
Description: partial 16S ribosomal RNA
Rfam family: Bacterial small subunit ribosomal RNA
Source: RNAcentral